CCUACGGGUGGCAGCAGUGAGGAAUAUUGGUCAAUGGGCGCGAGCCUGAACCAGCCAAGUCGCGUGAGGGAGGACGGCCCUACGGGUUGUAAACCUCUUUUAUAAAGGAAUAAAGUGAGGCACGUGUGCCUUUUUGUAUGUACCAUAUGAAUAAGGAUCGGCUAACUCCGUGCCAGCAGCCGCGGUAAUACGGAGGAUCCGAGCGUUAUCCGGAUUUAUUGGGUUUAAAGGGUGCGUAGGUGGAUUGUUAAGUCAGUUGUGAAAGUUUGCGGCUCAACCGUAAAAUUGCAGUUGAAACUGGCAGUCUUGAGUACAGUAGAGGUGGGCGGAAUUCGUGGUGUAGCGGUGAAAUGCUUAGAUAUCACGAAGAACUCCGAUUGCGAAGGCAGCUCACUGGACUGCAACUGACACUGAGGCUCGAAAGUGUGGGUAUCAAACAGGAUUAGAUACCCGGGUAGUC
This 460-nucleotide ribosomal RNA is filed under the name uncultured bacterium. RNAcentral's name for it is "partial 16S ribosomal RNA". It matches the Rfam family "Bacterial small subunit ribosomal RNA", at positions 338 to 795 of the family's 1533-position model. The record is from RNAcentral.